GCCCAGACUCCUACGGGAGGCAGCAGUGAGGAAUAUUGGUCAAUGGGCGAGAGCCUGAACCAGCCAAGUCGCGUGAGGGAGUACUGCCCUAUGGGUUGUAAACCUCUUUUGUCGGGGAGCAAAAGCCGGACGUGUCCGGCUGUGAGAGUACCCGAAGAAAAAGCAUCGGCUAACUCCGUGCCAGCAGCCGCGGUAAUACGGAGGAUGCGAGCGUUAUCCGGAUUUAUUGGGUUUAAAGGGUGCGCAGGCGGAUUUUUAAGUCAGCGGUCAAAUCGUGGGGCUCAACCCCAUCCAGCCGUUGAAACUGGGGAUCUAGAGUGUGCGAGAGGUAUGCGGAAUGCGUGGUGUAGCGGUGAAAUGCUUAGAUAUAACUUAGAACUCCGAUAGCGAAGGCAGCUUACCAGACUGCGACUGACGCUGAAGCACGAGAGCGUGGGUAGCGAACAGGAUUAGAUACCCCGGUA
This 464-nucleotide ribosomal RNA is filed under the name uncultured bacterium. RNAcentral's name for it is "partial 16S ribosomal RNA". It matches the Rfam family "Bacterial small subunit ribosomal RNA", at positions 329 to 792 of the family's 1533-position model. The record is from RNAcentral.